This is a long non-coding RNA of Struthio camelus australis, 2606 nucleotides long. Lineage: Eukaryota; Metazoa; Chordata; Aves; Struthioniformes; Struthionidae. The record is from Ensembl.
GCGAGAUCUCUGGACAGAGGGGACGAGAGAACCCAACCACCGGGCAGGAAGGAGAGAUGCUUGCAAUUAUUAUCCGGCCGAACCCUUCCAGCAUAUCGCAGCCAUAGCAACAGAGAUGGGCUGUCCCAGCCGGAGUCUGCAGUGCAAUAAAAGGAGAGAGAGGGACGCAGGGAAAGAAAGAGCCUUGCAUUGCACUGGGCAAUCUCCUAAGGGGCUGGCACAAACAAACAGCAACUGGAAGCAACUGGAGCCAAUCCCCCAGCUCCCUUUGUAACGCUUUCUGACACAGAUUCCCUCUCCGUGGCUGACUUUGCAAGUUUCCCCAUCCUCUCCCCUCCUUGCACAGCUCCUUUUCAUGCGACUGAAUUAUACACGAGAGAAGGGACAUGCUGGAAAUUCUAAUAAAAAAUAAAAAUGUGCAGGUUGGUGGAGCUGGCUGCAGCCUUGCUGCCUCCAGGGCUCCUUGUUCGAGCGAAGAGGGACAGGACCGGGUCCCAGGUCAGUAGCAUUAAUGCCUGUCAAUUUUGAAACCACCAAGAAAAAAAUCGCUCCCGUUAAGAGCUGGAGAGCAGCAGGGUACCGCGAGCGCGCAGAGCAGGGCUGCGUCUGCGGCGAGCCCUGCUGCAGAUGCCAGGGCAAUGUCCCUUUAACGCGUGGCUCCUGCUGUCCCAGCAGCCAGAGCACCAUCAGGGACGGAAGAAGAUGCAUUCACUUCCCCUUAGAAAUGUCUCGGUUAUGGGGCUAGUAAAAAAAUAUGCAAAUCCUGCAGGGAUGGGCCUUUGAGUCUUUUCAUGCAAACGCCCCCCCCCAAUAUCUUUAGUUAAAUAGUAGGGAGGGAAAGGCUGAGCAGCAGGGGGAAGAGAAACGCAGGGCCAGAGGGGAGCGCGGGGGUGGAAGGGAGAGGCUGGAGGCUGAGAUCUGACACGACAUGGAGCAAGGACAGGAGAUGCGCGCGGGAUAGCGGCUCCUCCAGACAGCAGGCAUGCGGAGAAGGCUCCUGCUCGCUGCAAGCCCAGCCAGCAUCCCGCGGUGGGUCCGCCGUGCUCUGCAUCGGGAUGCGCGCACACACAAGGUGCCGGUCUGGCUCCGGAGCCACGUGGGUGACUCUCCGGAGCGAUUCUCCAGGGAAGCCCCCAUGAGGCAAGGCAAGGGCUGCUCUGUGGUUAGGACACCGAUGUGCAGCCUGGGUGGGAAGCACCGAGUCCCCAGCUCAGACGGAGAUCCCCUGGGACCACAGGCUUGUUCCUGUGCCUGCGUCCCGUCUCCUCUUCCAGACAAUGAAACGCUGCUCUCCUUCCCAAGGCGCAGCAGGACAAAUAAAGCAAGCACCAUAUGGUGCCAAGACACAGUGGAAACGGGGCCAAACCCAGGAGGUAGAGGAGAUGGCAAGGCUCCAUUUCCACCCCAGUCCCCACCUCAAGCUCCCGACCGGCUGCUGGCCAGGGCUGUCUUUGGGCAAGCACCUCGCCUUGCUGGAGCCGCUCCUCGUCCCCCAGCACUGCCUGCCCCAAAGCCCGGCUCCCCUGCCGGCAGCGGCACAGCCCCUGCAUUUCAGCCAUGGCUUUGCAGUGACUCGCUUGGCCUCUUCCCUGCUUGCAGCCUUUAGGAGCACGGAAACCAAGGCUGUCCAUCCAGAGCCCUACCUCCUGUAAGGGCUUAGCUAGCAACACCGGAGCCACCACGCCGGACCAGCACUGGGGCAGCAUCCUCAGCUGUAGGAGGCAACACCCUGCCACGGGACAGAGCAUGGUCUCCUAUCCUUCCCCCAGAAUUACAGAGUAUAAAUAUUAGUGGAGGCUACAGACAAUUUUUCUCCUAAAGCAUCUGCAGCCCCAGAAGCUGCAAGGGAAUUCUCCCCACAGCUUUAGGAUAGCAGAGAUACAGGACUCCCCGGUGAACAGAGAGCGGCAGCUCACCGCCCACGCGUGCUCCGUGAGUUGCAGGCAAGUCCCUUACCUCCAGACACAGGCACCUAAAGUGAGAUACCUCCAAGCAGAUGCGGGCAUCCAGAUGGCUGGCUUUUCAGAGGUGCUGAGCGCCUGCAAUUCCCUCUGCAGCCAGCUCCGUGGAGGAGACUCGCAUCCCUUGGAGAGCCCGGUCUGCCCUGGGUGCCUGGGGCUAGGGCCCGACACAGGACAGCCGACCUCGCAUUUUCUGCAGUUUUAACAAACAGACGCAAACCUCGGCCGUGCCUGGGAGCCCCCUUGGCAGAGCCCGUGUGGUACAUGCAGUUCCACCCUUGCUUACCCCAUUCCCCGUGAAAUGGCCUCAGAGAGGGAAGCAUUUGGCUCUGCCCUCCAGGCAAGCUGAAUCAAAAGCAGGAUCUCUCCAAGGUUUUGUAGCCAUGGGGUUCAAUUCUUUCGCUUGCUAAUGUGAGCAGAUCAUUUGCACCUGAGUCAUGCUGAUGAAAAUCAAGUAAGUUGUGCAAGCAAGAGUUUAUUGAAUCAUACACAAAAGUGCACGGGUGAUAACGAUCAAACAGGACCCGCUUAGCAGCCCACAGUUCUCUGUGCCACCCUCCUUUCUUGCUUCAAGAGGCAACGCUGCCUCAUGGAAGGAGUGACAAGUACCUUGCGCCCGUUCCCUCCCUGACACCAGCUUCAAGC